Cajanus cajan (pigeon pea) is the source of this 504-nucleotide non-coding RNA. The record is from RefSeq and is a predicted model, not a curated record. Lineage: Eukaryota; Viridiplantae; Streptophyta; Magnoliopsida; Fabales; Fabaceae.
UUGGUGUCAUAGGCAUAUGCUGAAAUUCAACUAUAAAUGGAUCUUUGUUGUAGUGUUAAAACCUGUGGCUAGGAUAAGCGUUUCCUUGAGUAGAAGAGUACUGUAAAAUGGCAUCACUCAAAGCUGAGAAACCUGCUGAAAAAUCAUGUUGCUCUUCAGGGCAGGUGAAGAAAGAGUCUGCUGCCAAACCUAGUUCAGGAACUCCAAAAGCCCCAGCCUCCAAACCAGCUCCAAAGAAAACCUCAAGCCAGGUUAAGAAGAAGGCAAGCAGCAAUAAAUAAGCCGAAGAUGUGUAGUGAAAUGUAUGACCAGAAAGAAUAGUUGUUGGACUUGGAAUUAUGGGAAGAGUCCAUAAGGAUAGUGUUAUAUGGUGCUCUUCAACCAAGUUUAUUAUCAGUACUUGUAUGUAUGGUCUAUGUUACUUGCUUCUGUUACUUGUAGCCUUGCCAUGCAACUCCAAGCUGCCUUGGCCUAAUAAAUAAAUAAAUAAUCCUUACUUGAUGA